UCGAACGCAGUGAGACAACGGAGCCGCUUGCGGCGACGGCCCGAAGGGCGAGGCGAAGCCGAGUCAUCCUGCACGACCCACCA
Molecule: small RNA, 83 nt
Filed under: Klebsiella pneumoniae
Lineage: Bacteria; Pseudomonadati; Pseudomonadota; Gammaproteobacteria; Enterobacterales; Enterobacteriaceae
Description: partial RtT sRNA
Rfam family: RtT RNA
About the family: This family represents a bacterial cis-regulatory element known as RtT RNA. The exact function of RtT is unknown although it is thought that it may be involved in changing the cellular response in relation to amino acid starvation.
Source: RNAcentral